AUUGAACGCUGGCGGCAGGCCUAACACAUGCAAGUCGAACGAGUGGCGGACGGGUGAGUUAUGUCUGGGAAACUGCCUGCUGGAGGGGGAUAACUACUGGAAACGGUAGCUAAUCCCGCAUACCAUCAGAUGUGCCCAGAUGGGAUUGGCUAGUUGGUGGGGUAACGGUUCACCAAGGCGACGGUCCCUAGCUGGUCUGAGAGGAUGACCAGCGACACUGGAACUGAGACACGGUCCAGAUCCCUACGGGAGGCAGCAGGGGGGAAUAUUGCACAAUGGGCGCAAGCCUGAUGCAUCCAUGCCGGGUGUAUGAAGAAGGCCUUCGGGUUGUAAAGUACUUUCAGCGGGGAGGCGGUACCCGCAGAAGAAGCACCGGCUAACUCCGUGCCAGCAGCCGCGGUAAUUC
Molecule: ribosomal RNA, 406 nt
Filed under: uncultured bacterium
Lineage: Bacteria
Description: partial 16S ribosomal RNA
Rfam family: Bacterial small subunit ribosomal RNA
Source: RNAcentral